This is a long non-coding RNA of Physella acuta, 303 nucleotides long. RefSeq lists it as uncharacterized. NCBI's taxonomy places the organism in Eukaryota, Metazoa, Mollusca, Gastropoda, Physidae. The record is from RefSeq and is a predicted model, not a curated record.
UCAAAAGCGUCAAACGCAUACAACAAAAACAUUAGCAAUUAGCUUGAUUAACAGAGUACAAACAUAUCACGCCAUGAUCUGGAUUUUACUUCUCGUCUUGACAACCUCCGCUGUGGGAAGCACCUUCAGGAGCGUCUGCUACUACACCAACUGGUCGCAGUAUCGGCCGGGGCGGGGCAAAGUACGUCCCUGAGAAUGUCGACCCCACCCUCUGCACCCACCUGAUCUACGCCUUCGCCAAGCCUGACAACGCCACCAUCCACCCAUUUGAGUGGAACGACGACUCCACCGAGUGGAGCAAAG